UUGCUUACUUAUUUAACUGCUGAAUGGUUGCCUUCUCUCUCCCAGAAAAUGUGGGGCAGAGAACAUUUAAAAACACAAAUUCCUAUAUAUAUAUGAGAGAGAAACCCAUGAUUACAGUUGCUAGAGGCUGCUGAGGAAUUUGUGUUUUGAAAUGUUCUUCGCCCCGCAUUUUCUGGGAGAGAGAAGGCAACCAUUCAGCAGUUAAAUAAGUAAGCAA
Molecule: non-coding RNA, 217 nt
Organism: Podarcis lilfordi (Lilford's wall lizard)
Lineage: Eukaryota; Metazoa; Chordata; Lepidosauria; Squamata; Lacertidae
Source: the annotation of a GenBank genome assembly